UCUUGCAAACUAAAGAUGGCGACCGGCGCACGGGUGAGUAACACGUAUCCAACCUGCCGAUAACUCGGGGAUAGCCUUUCGAAAGAAAGAUUAAUAUCCGAUAGUAUAUUAAAACCGCAUGGUUUUACUAUUAAAGAAUUUCGGUUAUCGAUGGGGAUGCGUUCCAUUAGGUUGUUGGUGGGGUAACGGCCCACCAAGACUACGAUGGAUAGGGGUUCUGAGAGGAAGGUCCCCCACAUUGGAACUGAGACACGGUCCAA
Molecule: ribosomal RNA, 260 nt
Filed under: uncultured bacterium
Lineage: Bacteria
Description: partial 16S ribosomal RNA
Rfam family: Bacterial small subunit ribosomal RNA
Source: RNAcentral